RNAcentral lists this ribosomal RNA (164 nucleotides) under uncultured bacterium. RNAcentral describes it as "partial 16S ribosomal RNA". It matches the Rfam family "Bacterial small subunit ribosomal RNA", at positions 355 to 511 of the family's 1533-position model. The record is from RNAcentral.
UAGGGAAUCUUCGGCAAUGGACGAAAGUCUGACCGAGCAACGCCGCGUGUGUGAUGAAGGGUUUCGGCUCGUAAAGCUCUGUUGUUAAAGAAGAACACGUAUGAGAGUAACUGUUCAUACGUUGACGGUAUUUAACCAGAAAGUCACGGCUAACUACGUGCCGG